AACGAACGCUAUCGGUAUGCUUAACACAUGCAAGCCGGACGGACUAAUUAGGGCUUGCUCCAAUUAGUUAGUGGCAGACGGGUGAGUAACACGUGGGAAUCUGCCCAUCAGUACGGAAUAACUUUUAGAAAUAAAAGCUAAUACCGUAUAUUCUCUACAGAGGAAAGAUUUAUCGCUGAUGGAUGAGCCCGCGUCAGAUUAGGUAGUUGGUGAGGUAACGGCUCACCAAGCCGACGAUCUGUAGCUGGUCUGAGAGGAUGAUCAGCCACACUGGGACUGAGACACGGCCCAGACUCCUACGGGAGGCAGCAGUGGGGAAUAUUGGACAAUGGGCGAAAGCCUGAUCCAGCAAUACCGAGUGAGUGAUAAAGGCCCUAGGGUUGUAAAGCUCUUUUAGCAAGGAAGAUAAUGACGUUACUUGCAGAAAAAGCCCCGGCUAACUCCGUG
This 447-nucleotide ribosomal RNA is filed under the name uncultured bacterium. RNAcentral's name for it is "partial 16S ribosomal RNA". It matches the Rfam family "Bacterial small subunit ribosomal RNA", at positions 29 to 507 of the family's 1533-position model. The record is from RNAcentral.